RNAcentral lists this ribosomal RNA (253 nucleotides) under uncultured bacterium. RNAcentral describes it as "partial 16S ribosomal RNA". It matches the Rfam family "Bacterial small subunit ribosomal RNA", at positions 524 to 776 of the family's 1533-position model. The record is from RNAcentral.
UACGUAGGGUGCGAGCGUUAAUCGGAAUUACUGGGCGUAAAGCGUGCGUAGGUGGUUCGUUGUGUCUGUGGUGAAAGCCCCGGGCUUAACCUGGGAACGGCCAUGGAAACUGGCGAGCUGGAGUGUGGCAGAGGGGGGUGGAAUUCCGCGUGUAGCAGUGAAAUGCGUAGAGAUGCGGAGGAACACCGGUGGCGAAGGCGGCGAUCUGGGAAGAUACUGACGCUGAGGUGCGAAAGCGUGGGGAGCAAACAGG